This 206-nucleotide ribosomal RNA is filed under the name Sarcocystis cruzi. Its description in RNAcentral is "partial small subunit ribosomal RNA". Lineage: Eukaryota; Apicomplexa; Conoidasida; Eucoccidiorida; Sarcocystidae. The record is from RNAcentral.
UUGGCUAAUUCGUGUACAAAUAUCCUUUUUCGCAAGAAAGAGGAUAGUGUUUAUUAGAUUCAGAACCAAUACACCAUCUGUUAACAGCAGGGGGUGUAAAAAGGGUAAUUAUUAUUACCGGACGGGUUGCCAUAAUGUUCUUUUUAUAUGAUUGGCGAUAGAUCAUUCAAGUUUCUGACCUAUCAGCUUCGACGGUAGUGUAUGAG